Ruditapes philippinarum (Manila clam) is the source of this 3213-nucleotide long non-coding RNA. RefSeq lists it as uncharacterized. The transcript is spliced from 2 exons. NCBI's taxonomy places the organism in Eukaryota, Metazoa, Mollusca, Bivalvia, Venerida, Veneridae. The record is from RefSeq and is a predicted model, not a curated record.
AUACAAUUGCUGGCAGCUAUUUUAUACAUUUCUUUCAAAGACAUCUUUGUAAGUUUAUUAAUAUUUUUAUAUAGUUAUUUAUAAGGAACUCAGUUUUACAUUUUUAUCCUUACUUUUGUUCAGCAAGGAUGGACUACUUGUGGACAGUAUAAUGUACAAACAAGGUGACAGGUUGAAACCUUUGAGAGGGUCAUGUGAAAGAUAAUUUGAUAAAAUAUGCUUUGUAACUCUUUGAGUGGUUCUUUACAUUAAAAAGGCAUUUCUUAAACUCUGGUCUCAUGUCUGUCUUUAUGAGGUUCAUUAGGGUAUUAAAUUGUCAAUGUGUUAAUAGGAUAUUUUUUUUUAUAUAGCAUCAUGAUGAAUAUGUAUAUUUGGCUUUUAAAAGACAUUGCCAUAAGUAAUACUGAAGGAUUGUUUAGUUAGAUCGUACAUUUAAACACUUAACAAAGGAAUAAAUAUUUUAUAAUGUUAACCAGUCACCACUGUUGACAUAGAAAUUUUGUGUAUAUUUGAGGUACUGGACCCCUGUCUACUCUUAUCAGAGUUAAGCAUUAUAUACUAAUAUGCUGUUCAGUCAUGUCGGUUUAAUGUUCAUUCCAUCUAUACAAUCAAAAUUACUUAAAAAUAAUAUAUGUAAUAAUGUUAAGAUUUUAUAUUUUGUGUAUGUUUUUUUAAAGCUUGACUAUUAGAAGAAUAGGGAGAGCUAUUAAUUGUUCUCAUGUCUGCGGGUAGUUGUCAUACUUUGGUUAAGCUUUUGUGUGCAAGUUCGAAUCUCCAAAACAACUGAAGGGAAUGGGUUGAAAUUUCACACACUCAUUCUCUGUGAUUAUUAAACAUGAUGGGCACAGAUUCUAUAACUCUUAGUUACCUUUUAAGCUCACCUGAGCUAGCUCAGGGUGAACUUUUAGGAUCGAUGAAUGUCGGUCAUCCGUUCACAUUUGUUUGUUAACACUUUAGAGGUCACAGUUUUGCCUCAUUCAUCGUCAAACUUUGUCAGGAUGCUUGUCUAGGUAAUUGCUCGGAUGGGUUUUAACAUGGGUCAUCUCGGAUGAAAAACUAGGUCAUAGAAAAAUCUUGUUAACACUCUAGUGGCUACUGUAUUGAUCCAAAUAUCCUAGAAAUUGGUCUGAAAGUUUGUUUUGAUGAUUUCUAGGUCAAGUUCGAAUAUGGGUCACCUGGGGUCAGAAACUAGGUUACAAUACCCAGAUAUGAAAAAAACCUUGUUAGCACUCUUGUGGUCACAUUUUUGACUCAAUUGUCAUAAAACUUGGUCAGGAUGCGUGUCUAACUUCAAGUAAGGGACUGCUGAGUUUGAUGGGUCAGGACUGGUGAGCAAUCUAGGGCCAUCUUGGCCUUCUUAUUUACAGAGUUAUGCCCCUUUUUUACGGUUGAGUUCUGAGAAUAGUCAAUUACCUUCUCACCUCUUGUUUUCAGAUGCGCCCAUCCUGCCUUAGUGACUAUCUGUUUUAAUAACACCCUGUCUACCCAUCAACUUUACUUAUAGCAGAAAAUUAAAUACUCAUAUAUAAAAAAUCCAUUGUCCAUGAGUUUCAAAAUAAUUAAAAAUUAUCAGAACAGAUAUCAAAUUGCCAAGUAACAAUACUAUAUAUGACAUGUAUAUUGUAAAAGGGUCAACCAUUUUAAUGUUCUUGAAGAAAAUAAAAUGCACUUUUAGUUGUUAUAAAUAAAAUACAAUGUUUAGGAUAUUGGUCUAAAGUUUGAAUACUGCAUAUAUUGGUUGUUAAUACAAGUCACAGUCUUGGGAAAUGUUAUUUUAUUGAAGUUUUAUAUGCAGAUAGUGAGAUACUCUGUUUAAUAAGACAAUCUGUGUUUAUUAACUUUCGGUUGCUAUAGACAGGUUAAACUGUAUUAUUUUUAUGCCACCGCAGCAUCUGUGAUGCGGUGGCAUAUAGCGAUUCACCUGUGUGUGUGUUUGUUUGUGUGUGUGUGUGUGUGUGUUAUAUAGAUUAUAUAGUGAACUUAAAAAAUCUUCUUGUGAAAAACCACUAGUCCAAUUUCAACCAAACUUGGCAGGAUUGAUCCUUGGGUGAAGGCCUUCCAAAGUUGUUCAAAGAAUUUCAUUCCAUGCAGAAUUCUGGUUGUCAUGGCAACCAAAAGGAAUUAUAGGAAUAAAUUUAAAAAAUCUUCUUGUAAAGACCCAAAAGGCCUAGAGCUUAGAUAUUUUGCAUAAGGCAUUGUCUGGUAGACCUCUACCAAGAUUGUUCAAAUUAUAGCCCUGGGGUCCAAAUUGGCCCCGCCAAUAUGUACAUAUAGUAAAAACUUAAAAUACCUUCUUGUCUGAAGGUACCAGGCUUAGAGGUUUGAUAUUUGGUAUGUGUUAUUAUCUAUAGGUACUCUACCAAAGUUGUUCAAAUUUUGCCUCUAGUGUCAAAACUAGCCCUGCCCCGGGGUCAUAGGUUUUCCUCACAUGUAUAUAGUAAAAACUUUAAAAAAUCAUCUUCUCGAAUUGACAAAGGCUAGAGGUGAGACAUUUUGCAGUAAACAUUGUGUAGUGAACCUUUAGCAAGAUUAUUCAAAUUAAAGCCCUGGGGUCAAAAAGAAAAAUGUGUUCCUACAUUACUAUUUUAGUAUUGUAUUUAUGUGGUGGCAUAGCAUUUUUUACAAAUGCAAUCUUGUUUAUAUUUUUGUUCAUUUGAUAGUUAUUUAUUAUUCAAAUGGCUAUUAACAUUGGAAAGCAAGCCUUGAAUAUUAUGAUAAGAUAUUCAGGUCUACAUGCUUACUGUUUUGAUUAAUGUACCUCAUGCAUAUUGAAAUCAUUGUGAUUCUUUAUAUAUACCAGAUGAAUCAAACUUUUGUAUUUUUCUUAUUUCAUUAAAAUUUUAUCUAGUUUUAAUUACAUUUGUAUGUAAUUAUUCUUAUAAAUCAAUUUUCAGAAUGCUUGAUCACAAUUCAAUGUUUAUAAUUGAUGAUAUAAAUCAUAAUAAUAAAUAUAUAUUAUAAAUAUGAAUGUGUUUUAUGUUCCUUUAACAUCUAGAAGAGAUCAACAUUUUAUCUUCAGCUUCAGUCAUGAUUGUAAACUAAGACUAGUAACUUUCAGAUCCAGCAUGUUACAGUUAAUUUAUUUAGAAAUAGAUAUCAAUUUUCAGUGCAUAAUGUUGUAGAAUAAUGCAUGGUUCGAGUUCAAAUGUGCAGUCAUCGAAUUUAGCACUGGCCCAGUGGCCAAUGAAAAUUAGUUUGGUCAGUGAAAAUUUA